RNAcentral lists this ribosomal RNA (492 nucleotides) under uncultured bacterium. RNAcentral describes it as "partial 16S ribosomal RNA". It matches the Rfam family "Bacterial small subunit ribosomal RNA", at positions 29 to 507 of the family's 1533-position model. The record is from RNAcentral.
AGUGAACGCUGGCGGUAGGCCUAACACAUGCAAGUCGAACGGCAGCACAGUAAGAGCUUGCUCUUACGGGUGGCGAGUGGCGGACGGGUGAGGAAUACAUCGGAAUCUACUUUUUCGUGGGGGAUAACGUAGGGAAACUUACGCUAAUACCGCAUACGACCUACGGUUGAAAGCAGUGGAUCUUCUCACCUGGCGCGGAUGAACGAGCCGAUGUCGGAUUAGCUAGUUGGCGGGCUAAAUGCCCACCAAGUGGGCGAUCCGCAGCCGGUCUGAGAGGAUGGUCAGCCACACUGGAGCUGAGACACGGUCCAUAGUCCUGCGGGAGGCAGCAGUGGGGAAUAUUGGGCAAUGGGGGCAAGCCUGGUCCAGCCAUCCCGCGUGGGUUGAGAAGGCGUUGGGGUUGUAAAGCCCUUUUGUUGGGAAAGAAAAGCAGCAGGUUAAUACCCCGCUGUUCUGACGGUACCCAAAGAAUAAGCACCGGCUAACUUCGUG